Molecule: ribosomal RNA, 477 nt
Filed under: uncultured bacterium
Lineage: Bacteria
Description: partial 16S ribosomal RNA
Rfam family: Bacterial small subunit ribosomal RNA
Source: RNAcentral
GACGAACGCUGGCGGCGUGCUUAACACAUGCAAGUCGAACGGAGAUAAUAGUAAUAUUAUCUUAGUGGCGGACGGGUGAGUAACGCGUGGGCAACUUGCCUCAGACUGGGGGAUAACACAGGGAAACUUGUGCUAAUACCGCAUAACAUUAUCGUAAGACAUCCUAUGAUGAUCAAAGGAGUAAUCCGGUUUGAGAUGGGUCCGCGUCCGAUUAGCUAGUUGGCGGUGUAAUGGACCACCAAGGCGACGAUCGGUAGCCGAACUGAGAGGUUGAUCGGCCACAUUGGGACUGAGACACGGCCCAGACUCCUACGGGAGGCAGCAGUGGGGAAUAUUGCACAAUGGGGGAAACCCUGAUGCAGCAACGCCGCGUGAAGGAUGAAGGUUUUCGGAUUGUAAACUUCUUUGAUUGGGGACGAAUAAUGACGGUACCCAAAAAACAAGCCACGGCUAACUACGUGCCAGCCGCCGCGGUAA